GAGUUUGAUCCUGGCUCAGGAUGGACGCUGGCGGCGUGCUUAACACAUGCAAGUCGAACGGAGAGCAAAUGACAGAGGAUUCGUCCAAUGGAUUUAGUUUCUUAGUGGCGGACGGGUGAGUAACGCGUGAGGAACCUGCCUCGGAGUGGGGAAUAACACAACGAAAGCUGUGCUAAUACCGCAUGAUGCAGCUGGGUCCAUGACUCUGGCUGACCAAAGUAUUUACGCUCUGAGAUGGCCUCGCGUCUGAUUAG
This 254-nucleotide ribosomal RNA is filed under the name uncultured bacterium. Its description in RNAcentral is "partial 16S ribosomal RNA". It matches the Rfam family "Bacterial small subunit ribosomal RNA", at positions 9 to 244 of the family's 1533-position model. The record is from RNAcentral.